RNAcentral lists this ribosomal RNA (457 nucleotides) under uncultured bacterium. RNAcentral's name for it is "bacterial SSU rRNA". It matches the Rfam family "Bacterial small subunit ribosomal RNA", at positions 923 to 1379 of the family's 1533-position model. The record is from RNAcentral.
GCACAAGCGGUGGAGCAUGUGGUUUAAUUCGAAGCAACGCGAAGAACCUUACCUGGAUUUGACAUCCUCGGACAACCCUAGAGAUAGGGCUUUCGUAGCAAUACGACCGGGAGACAGGUGCUGCAUGGCUGUCGUCAGCUCGUGUGGUGACAUGUUGGGUUAAGUCCCGCAACGAGCGCAACCCUUGUCCUUAGUUGCCAGCAUUCAGUUGGGCUCUCUAAGGAGACUGCCGUGGUGAACACGGAGGAAGGUGGGGAUGACGUCAAGUCCUCAUGGCCUUUAUAUCCAGGGCGACACACGUGAUACAAUGGACGGUACAGAGGGAAGCCAAAGCGCAAGCUGGAGCCAAUCUCAAAAAGCCGUUCUCAGUUCGGAUUGGAGUCUGCAACUCGACUCCAUGAAGUUGGAAUCGCUAGUAAUCGCGGAUCAGCACGCCGCGGUGAAUACGUUCCCGGGC